GGAGUCCGUUGGAGAGAAUCUAAGUGCAGAGCUUGGGAUCCAUGGCAGUGCUUGGUGCGAUCCGAACCUCAGGUCUUAUUGACUUCAAAUCCACAAUUCCACACUAACUCUGACAUCAAUUUCCCAACUUUCCAAGACAGGCUACAUCUUCUAGAUGACUGAUCCCGUAUUCUCAAAACAUUUUCCCACUUCAGUCUUGAUUUGUGAUUCCAAUGGUGUAAGAAAUUCUCUCUUUGUUGGCAGCUAUUCCACAACUUUUAGCCUUUUAUGAAAGUGGUCUGGGAGACUGAGGAGUUAAUUGAUUAUUCAGUCACAUAGCCUUUAUGUAUCAGAGGUGACUUGAACUCAAGUCUUUCUAGCUCAAAGUCUAACUCUUUGGCCACUAUGCAAUGCUCUCUCACUUGGAAGUCAUUAAAAAAAUUGUACUCAGUGAU
Molecule: long non-coding RNA, 434 nt
Organism: Sarcophilus harrisii (Tasmanian devil)
Lineage: Eukaryota; Metazoa; Chordata; Mammalia; Dasyuromorphia; Dasyuridae
Exons: 3
Source: RefSeq, a predicted model, not a curated record